RNAcentral lists this ribosomal RNA (253 nucleotides) under uncultured bacterium. Its description in RNAcentral is "partial 16S ribosomal RNA". It matches the Rfam family "Bacterial small subunit ribosomal RNA", at positions 524 to 776 of the family's 1533-position model. The record is from RNAcentral.
UACGUAGGGGGCAAGCGUUGUCCGGAAUCAUUGGGCGUAAAGCGCGUGUAGGCGGCCCGGUAAGUCCGCUGUGAAAGUCGGGGGCUCAACCCUCGAAUGCCGGUGGAUACUGUCGGGCUAGAGUGCGGGAGAGGCGAGUGGAAUUCCUGGUGUAGCGGUGAAAUGCGCAGAUAUCAGGAGGAACACCGGUGGCGAAGGCGGGUCUCUGGGCCGAUACUGACGCUGAGGAGCGAAAGCAUGGGUAGCGAACAGG